This 79-nucleotide small nuclear RNA is filed under the name Nomascus leucogenys (northern white-cheeked gibbon). Its description in RNAcentral is "U7 small nuclear RNA". It matches the Rfam family "U7 small nuclear RNA". From Rfam's summary of the family: Animal histone pre-mRNAs are spliced by a different mechanism than nuclear pre-mRNAs and self-splicing introns. This processing involves the U7 snRNP, which contains only one RNA species: U7. Lineage: Eukaryota; Metazoa; Chordata; Mammalia; Primates; Hylobatidae. The record is from Rfam by way of RNAcentral.
UAGUGUUACAGCUCUUUUAGAAUUUGUCUAUCAGGACUUCAGGUUUUUUUCUUUUUUUUUUUUUUGCUGGAAAGCCCCU